CAUGUAUAUCAUACCAGAAGGAC
This 23-nucleotide microRNA is filed under the name Ananas comosus (pineapple). RNAcentral describes it as "microRNA s0528_c68a". Lineage: Eukaryota; Viridiplantae; Streptophyta; Magnoliopsida; Poales; Bromeliaceae. The record is from RNAcentral.